UUCAUCUUCCGGAACGUCUUUAAAUCCAAAAUGAGUCAUGUGGCUUGAGGUAUCAGUAUCUUUCGAGCUAGUACUGGUAUAGCGACAAUUAGACAAUCGAGAGCCAGCCAAAGCUGUAGACCUGAUUCCUUUCAAUCCAUCAGCUAAAAAUUUAGCAACAGGAGCUCUUAAACGUGACAUGAUACAGCAGUUUCAAAAACGAAUACCAAGUGUAACGGUUUUGUUUAUGGAUAGUGCUAGGUAGAAACUCACGAUUUGAAGGGAAUCUGAUGCUACCUAUAUACCGCAAUACACUAACAUACGCAAUUUCCGAUGGUAAAGCAAAGGUAAAUUAAAUAUAUGGGAAAUGAUAAGAAAAUUGAAUAAAUAUUAUGAAUCAUAAAUAAAUAAAAGUUCAAAGGCUCAAGAUUCUGGAAAGAAAACGCUUGCGACCUUGGCGGAAAGUGCUGGCCCUAUUGUUUGAAAACCAUAGCCUUGACAAGUCUUAUUCAGUAAUAAGUUUCUUUCCUGGCUAGAUGAUGACUUUUCGUACGCCUCAAAUAAAUGCAUGAAUGUUGGAUAUUUCUUCUGAAUCUCGAUGGCUUUUGAAGCACUUAUACCUUUUAUAGUCAUAAGCAUUCGAAUAAAAAUAUCCCCCACGGUCAAAGUAGAAGACUUCGAGAGGACAGAGGAAAAUGCAUGGUAUGAUAUGUGGUAAGGAGUUGAGGGAUCAAUUUUUAGAAGUUGCUCUCGUAACGACUCAUAAGUUUUGGCUUCUAUCGACAAAUCGGGAAUGACAGCGAGGGUUUUACGUUUCUCAUAAAACAGGUUAAUUUGCUUUGUCAUUUCAGCAAGCAAACUUACGCUGUGUUCAAGUGAUCGCGUAUGACGGACAUGAAAUAAUUGAUCGACUUGGGUAUUGCUAACAGCUGUACGAAUUGAUUCCGUGAAACUUUCAUCAUAAGAGGAUUCCUCCAAAAUGUAGGUGACUGAACGUAUUCCGCUCUUCUUUAGACGUGCCUUUUGUUCGUGAAAUCUUCCGUCCUUAAUGGAAGCAACUAAAUCAUCAUAUCUUUUCCUUUCAACGACAAAAUCCAACACAACUUCUUGACCGCUUUCCAUAUCCCUUGCAACCCAUAAAGCAUCUCCCAAUUCUAAUGAUCGUACCUGACAAUUGACACCAAAGUCAUUAGUCAGUUUAUCGAUAAUAAGAUUGCGAUCCAAGGGAGAACGUAUUUCUCGAGUAUCAAUCAGAAGAAAAACCGUACAGUUUGAGAAUAAUACCGUCUCGAUUUUUAAGUUAGACAAAUUGCUUUCAUUUGGUUGCUUUUUUUCUUGUUCCGUCAAGUCAAUCAACUGCUCAUUGUUAAUGAUAUGGUGAUCAUGAAUUCCGGUCAACGAAUCCACCUGAUCAACAUCUAUAUCGGUUUCAACACCAUCAGAAACUUCAUUAUGAUCUACCGGACAGUAAGUAACAUGUAGUUCACCUCCGUGGUCUGAAGAACUUCCUGCUUUAUUGAUUGAUGUAACAAAAUUUGGAGGUUGGCAUAAAGAGGAAUCAUGAUCAUCGGAUUUAGAGACAGAAAAGUUUGAUACAGUAUGUUUCCGUUGAAAGGAAUCGUCUACUUUUGCCAAACGUAUGCAAACUUCUUCACCAUCGUCGGUCAAGCAGUACUUAGAGGGAUGACCUGUCUGGUAAACUAAAUUUUUUGUGAUCAAAGUCUUCAUAGCACUCCAUGCAGUAUAACGCAUGUUUCGGUCUGUAGCAGAUCCAAAGGACGAAUCACAAUACGGUUGGGCCAUCGUAACAAUUUGAGGCUUUGUAGCGAAUUCGUGUUUAUUAAGCAUAUAAAGAGCGCAAAGAAUUGAAUAUGCACCAGAACGAUAGCUCGGAACAUAGACCUUUCUCUUUCUUGUAGUCGGUUUUUUAACGCUUCGAGGCUUUUCAGAAGAAGUCUCAGAAGACGAUUUAUUAGCAUUGACAUGAGAAUCAUUCUGUUCAUUGUGCGUGCUAAUUGGAAUAUUAUUUUCCAAACAGUAAGCGUUCCAUUUCUUUUCUAGCUUGGCACAAAUCGUAGGGCCAAUUCCCUUCAGUGCCAAUGCCUGAGAAGGACGAUGAAAUGUGAUGGGGCAACUUUUCAUUGAAUCGUAGGCCU
RNAcentral lists this long non-coding RNA (2135 nucleotides) under Schizosaccharomyces pombe (fission yeast). Lineage: Eukaryota; Fungi; Ascomycota; Schizosaccharomycetes; Schizosaccharomycetales; Schizosaccharomycetaceae. The record is from RNAcentral.